Molecule: ribosomal RNA, 532 nt
Filed under: uncultured bacterium
Lineage: Bacteria
Description: partial 16S ribosomal RNA
Rfam family: Bacterial small subunit ribosomal RNA
Source: RNAcentral
UGGGGAAUAUUGGACAAUGGGGGCAACCCUGAUCCAGCAAUGCCGCGUGUGUGAAGAAGGUCUUCGGAUUGUAAAGCACUUUCGACGGGGACGAUGAUGACGGUACCCGUAGAAGAAGCCCCGGCUAACUUCGUGCCAGCAGCCGCGGUAAUACGAAGGGGGCUAGCGUUGCUCGGAAUGACUGGGCGUAAAGGGCGUGUAGGCGGUUUACACAGUCAGAUGUGAAAAUCCCCCGGGCUUAACCUGGGAGCUGCAUUUGAUACGUGUAGACUAGAGUGUGAGAGAGGGUUGUGGAAUUCCCAGUGUAGAGGUGAAAUUCGUAGAUAUUGGGAAGAACACCGGUGGCGAAGGCGGCAACCUGGCUCAUGACUGACGCUGAGGCGCGAAAGCGUGGGGAGCAAACAGGAUUAGAUACCCUGGUAGUCCACGCUGUAAAACGAUGUGUGCUAGAUGUUGGGUAACUUUGUUAUUCAGUGUCGCAGUUAACGCGUUAAGCACACCGCCUGGGGAGUACGGCCGCAAGGUUGAAAAC